This 191-nucleotide unclassified non-coding RNA is filed under the name uncultured Herpotrichiellaceae. RNAcentral's name for it is "sequence contains ITS2". The record is from RNAcentral. Lineage: Eukaryota; Fungi; Ascomycota; Eurotiomycetes; Chaetothyriales; Herpotrichiellaceae.
UCACCUCUCAAGCUCCCCGGCUUGGUGUUGGACGGUUUAGCCUUGGCAACAAGGCCCGUUUUAAAGUCAAUGACGGCGGCCUGUUCGACCCCCGGUACACCGAGCUUUUUAACUGAGCACGUAUCGGUUGAAUGCAUGCACGGCUGUCGUGGCAAGGGAAGCGAUUCCGUUGGUGGCAGCCUCCAUCCGUG